This is a non-coding RNA of Schizosaccharomyces pombe (fission yeast), 775 nucleotides long. The record is from the annotation of a GenBank genome assembly. NCBI's taxonomy places the organism in Eukaryota, Fungi, Ascomycota, Schizosaccharomycetes, Schizosaccharomycetales, Schizosaccharomycetaceae.
AUGUAAUCCUCCAAUGUACUGACAAAAAGGUUCAAUCCAGUUUAAGCAAGGUUAGAAAUGUUUGUUUACACAAUUGGUUUCAGCCGUGCGCUAGUAGUCUUAGUAUGGCCAAACAUACGAAAAAAGUUAGAAUGCAAGAUUCGAACUCGGGAUUUCAAGAACUCCGAACGGGACAAAGAAUCUUAUGGAACGGAAUGGAAUCAUUUCUCGGUCAUUUGAGAAACCGUCCUACAAUCUGAUUGGUUAAAAGGACCACACCAUGAAAAAACCCAUGUGAUUUUUGCGAAUCAGAAAUCGGUGAGAGAUGGGAGUUGAACGCUUGUACAUAAUUACGUGACAGUGGCAAAAUCUAGGCUCUCCCAAAAUUUUUGAUCACAGUUAAUGUUCCGCAAAUUUUUAGAACGUUGAGUCGCGCUAUUCCAUUUGAAAACCGUUUAACAAAACAAAUUAAAUGUUCUUUAUUUCUAAGGAACGCAGUUUGAAGAUAUACGAACACUAAAUUCGUAAGUUGUCAUACUGCAUAACGACAGUAAAACGUUAUUAAAGGUUGAGUGGAUGCUAAAACAGAAGGUGAGAUGUAGAUAAAGAUCAAAAAGCAGUUAAACAAUGCAUUUGUUAAGGUUAUAAACAUAAGAAUAGAUUUUAAAAGAUCCAUAGUUUAAAUAAAAUGAAAGACCAUUGCUUAAAAUGAAAGAAGGACGUUUGUUAUUGACUUUUUUAUGACUUUACAUGGUUUGACUCGUAGAAAAUCCAAACUUUAGAUAGAAAGCGAUUC